GCUUUCUGGAGGUCAAAGCUUAUCUCAGUCCUAAUCAAUAUUUGUCUUGACAGAGAAACUGCAGAGGAGAGACAUCUGUUGGUCCAGGAAGCAUCUAUCAAACAUCAGAGCAUUCUCAAGAGUCAUCUUGGCCUAUUGAGAACAUCUCUAAGGACCUCUACAUAGAAGUCUAUCCAGGGACCUAUUCUGUCACUGUGGGCUCAGGUGCCUUAAGCAAGAAGACGCAUGUGGUUGCAGUUGACUCGGGGCAAAGUGUGGACUUGGUGUUCCCCGUAUGAUGUUGACAUCACUGCCAUCAUUUCACUCUAAGAAGAAGAAUAAAACCACCCUAUAACUGUCUUAAU
RNAcentral lists this long non-coding RNA (344 nucleotides) under Rattus norvegicus (Norway rat). Its description in RNAcentral is "long non-coding RNA NONRATT001086". Lineage: Eukaryota; Metazoa; Chordata; Mammalia; Rodentia; Muridae. The record is from RNAcentral.